GGUGACUAGUGACAGAGUGAGGGAGCGGGUGACACAGUGACAGAGUGAGGGAGCGGGUGACACAGUGACAGAGUUAGGGAGGGAGUGACUAGUGACAGAGAGAGGGAUGGGGUGACUAGUGACAGUCACCCCCUCCCUCCCUCUGUCACUAGUCACUCCCUCCCUCUGUCACCAGUCAUCCCCUCACUCUGUCACUAGUCACCUCUUCCCUCCCUCACUUUGCCACUAGUCAUCUCUUCCCUCCCUCCCCCACUCUGUCACUAGUCACCCACUCCCUCACUCUGUCACCAGUCACCCCCACUCACUGUGUCUCCCCCUCACUCUGCCAC
Non-coding RNA from Pelobates cultripes (western spadefoot toad), 329 nucleotides. The record is from the annotation of a GenBank genome assembly. Lineage: Eukaryota; Metazoa; Chordata; Amphibia; Anura; Pelobatidae.